Molecule: non-coding RNA, 52 nt
Organism: Equus caballus (horse)
Lineage: Eukaryota; Metazoa; Chordata; Mammalia; Perissodactyla; Equidae
Source: Rfam
UUUUAAAUAUAACUGUGUCCCAUGCAAUAUUUGGGACAUAUUUAUACUAAAA